RNAcentral lists this long non-coding RNA (16777 nucleotides) under Brassica rapa (field mustard). Its description in RNAcentral is "long non-coding RNA (BRAP_LNC004209)". The record is from RNAcentral. Lineage: Eukaryota; Viridiplantae; Streptophyta; Magnoliopsida; Brassicales; Brassicaceae.
UUUGAUUUAGAAAUUAGGAUAACAAGAAUUGUUUGUUGAUAGAUGGAGUAUUCUUUUACAUUUUUUUAUGAAUAGUUGUAUUUUUUAAAUAUAAUUCUCAAAAGUUAUAUUCUCAAAAGUUCUAUUUAGAAAAUUUCUUUUUGGUGAAUAAUAGUGUGGAUUUGGGGUUUUGAUUUAGAAAUUAGGAUAACAAGAAUUGUUUGUUUACAGAUGGAGUAUUCUUUUAGAUUUUUUGAUCAAUAGUUGUAUUUUUUAAAUAUAAUUAUCAAAAGUUCUAUUUUAGGAAAGUUUUCAUUGUAUAUAGAAAUAUUGUAGAUUUGGGGUUGUGGUUUAGAAAUUAGGAUAAAAAUAUAUUUUUUUGAUGUAUGAGUAUUUUUUUAGAUUUUUUUUAUCAAUAGGUUGUAUAUUUUAGAUAAAAUUCUCAAAACUUCUAUUUUUAGAAAGUUUUCAUUUUUAUUGAGAAAUAUUGUAGAUUUGGGUUGUGAUUUAGAAUUAGGAUAACAAGAAUUUUGUUGAUAGAUGAGUAUUUUUGAGGUUUUUGAUCAAUAGUUGUAUAUUUUAGAUAAAAUUCUCAAAACUUCUAUUUUUUGAAAGUUUUCAUUUUUAUUGAGAAAUAUUGUAGAGUUAGGGUUGUGAUUUAGAAUUUAGGAUAACAAGAAAUUUUGUUGAUAGAUGAGUAUUCUUUGAGGAUUUUGAUCAAUAAGUUGUAUUUUUAAGAUAAAAUUCUCAAAAAUCUAUUUUAGGAAAGUUUUAUUUUUAUUGGGAAAUAUUGUAGAUUUGGGGUUCAGAUUAAAAAUAUUAGAACAACAAGAAUUUUUGUUGAUAGGUGAGCAUUCUUUAAAAGUUUUGAUCAAUAGGUUGUAUAUUUUAUAUAAAAUUCUCAAAAAUUCUAUUUUGGAAAGUUUCAUUUUUGUGAAUAAUAGUGUGGAUUUGGGGUUUUGAUUUAGAAAUUAGGAUAACAAGAAUUGUUUGUUGAUAGAUGGAGUAUUCUUUUACAUUUUUUGAUGAAUAGUUGUAUUUUUAAAAUAUAAUUCUCAAAAUUCUAUUUUAGGAAAGUUUCCAUUUUGAUGAAUAAUAGUGUGGAUUUGGGGUUUUGAUUUAGAAAUUAGGAUAACAAGAAUUGUUUGUUGAAAGAUGGAGUAUUCUUUUAGAUUUUUUGAUCAAUAGUUGUAUUUUUUAAAUAUAAUUCUCAAAAGUUCUAUUUUAGGAAAGUUUUCAUUGUCUAUAGAAAUAUUGUAGAUUUGGAGUUGUGAUUUAGAAAUUAGGAUAACAAUAUUUUUUGUUGAUGUAUGAGUAUUUGUUUAGAUUUUUGAUCAAUAGGUUAUAUUUUAGAUAAAAUUCUCAAAACUUCUAUUUUAAAAAGUUUUCAUUUUUAUUGAGAAAUAUUGUAGAGUUAGGGUUGUGAUUUAGAAUUUAGGAUAACAAGAAAUUUUGUUGAUAGAUGAGUAUUCUUUGAGGAUUUUUGAUCAAUAAGUUGUAUUUUUAAGAUAAAAUUCUCAAAAAAUCUAUUUUAGGAAAGUUUUAUUUUUAUUUGGAAAUAUUGUAGAUUUGGGGUUCAGAUUAAAAAUAUUAGAACAACAAGAAUUUUUGUGGAUAGGUGAGCAUUUUUAUAAAAGUUUGAUUAAUAGGUUGUAUAUUUUAUAUAAAAUUCUCAAAAAUUCUAUUUCUGGAAAGUUUCAUUUUUGUGAAUAAUAGUGUGGAUUUGGGGUUUUGAUUUAGAAAUUAGGAUAACAAGAAUUGUUUGUUGAUAGAUGGAGUAUUCUUUUACAUUUUUUGAUGAAUAGUUGUAUUUUUAAAAUAUAAUUCUCAAAAGUUCUAUUUUAGGAAAGUUUCCAUUUUGUUGAAUAAUAGUGUGGAUUUGGGGUUUUGAUUUAGAAAUUAGGAUAACAAGAAUUGUUUGUUGAUAGAUGGAGUAUUCUUUUAGAUUUUUUGAUCAAUAGUUGUAUUUUUUAAAUAUAAUUAUCAAAAUUCUAUUUUAGGAAAGUUUUCAUUGUCUAUAGAAAUAUUGUAGAUUUGGGGUUGUGAUUUAGAAAUUAGGAUAACAAUAUUUUUGUUGAUAUAUGAGUAUUUUUUAGAUUUUUUGAUCAAUAGGUUGUUUUUUUAGAUAAAAUUCUCAAAACUUCUAUUUUUAGAAAGUUUUCAUUUUUAUUGAGAAAUAUUGUAGAUUUAGGGUUGUGAUUUAGAAUUUAGGAUAACAAGAAAUUUUGUUGAUAGAUGAGUAUUCUUUGAGGAUUUUUGAUCAAUAAGUUGUAUUUUUAAGAUAAAAUUCUCAAAAAAUCUAUUUUAGGAAAGUUUUAUUUUAAUUGGAAAUAUUGUAGAUUUGGGGUUCAGAUUAAAAAUAUUAGAACAACAAGAAUUUUUGUUGAUAGGUGAGCAUUCUUUUAAAAUUUUGAUCAAUAGGUUGUAUAUUUAUAUAAAAUUCUCAAAAAUUCUAUUUUUGGAAAGUUUUCAUUUUUGUGAAUAAUAGUGUGGAUUUGGGGUUUUGAUUUAGAAAUUAGGAUAACAAGAAUUGUUUGUUGAUAGAUGGAGUAUUCUUUUACAUUUUUUAUGAAUAGUUGUAUUUUUAAAUAUAAUUCUCAAAAGUUAUAUUUUAGAAAAAUUUUCUUUUUGGUGAAUAAUAGUGUGGAUUUGGGGUUUUGAUAUAGAAAUUAGGAUAACAAGAAUUGUUUGUUUACAGAUGGAGUAUUCUUUUAGAUUUUUUGAUCAAUAGUUGUAUUUUUUAAAUAUAAUUAUCAAAAGUUCUAUUUUAGGAAAGUUUUCAUUGUAUAUAGAAAUAUUGUAGAUUUGGGGUUGUGGUUUAGAAAUUAGGAUAAAAAUAUAUUUUUUUGAUGUAUGAGUAUUUUUUUAGAUUUUUUUUAUCAAUAGGUUGUAUAUUUUAGAUAAAAUUCUCAAAACUUCUAUUUUAGAAAUUUUCAUUUUUAUUGAGAAAUAUUGUAGAUUUAAGGUUGUGAUUUAGAAUUUAGGAUAACAAGAAUUUUGUUGAUAGAUGAGUAUUCUUUGAGGUUUUUUGAUCAAUAGUUGUAUAUUUUAGAUGAAAUUUUCAAAAUUCUAUUUUUGAAAGUUUUCAUUUUUUAUGAGAAUAUUGUAGAGUUAGAGUUGUGAUUUAGAAUUUAGGAUAACAAGAAAUUUUGUUGAUAGAUGAGUAUUCCUUGUGGAUUUUUGAUCAAUAAGUUGUAUUUUUUAAGAUAAAAUUCUCAAAAGUGUUAUUUAGGAAAGUUUUAUUUUUAUUGGGAAAUAUUGUAGAUUUGGGGUUCAGAUUAAAAUAUUAGAACAACAAGAAUUUUUGUUGAUAGGUGAGAAUUCUUUUAAAAGUUUGAUCAAUAGGUUGUAUUUUUAUAUAAUUCACAAAAAUUUAUUUUUGGAAAGUUUCAUUUUUGUGAAUAAUAGUGUGGAUUUGGGGUUUUGAUUUAGAAAUUACGAUAACAAAAAUUAUUUGUUGAUAGAUGGAGUAUUCUUUUACAUUUUUUGAUGAAUAGUUGUAUUUUUAAAUAUAAUUAUCAAAAGUUCUAUUUUAGGAAAGUUUUCAUUUUAGGUGAAUAAUAGUGUGUAUUUGGGGUUUUGAUUUAGAAAUUAGGAUAACAAGAAUUGUUUGUUAAUGAUGGAGUAUUAUUUUAGAUUUUUAUCAAUAAUUGUAAUUUUAAAAUAAUUAUCAAAAGUUCUAUUUUAGGAAAGUUUUCAUUGUCUAUAGAAAUAUUGUAGAUUUGGAGGGUUGUGAUUUAGAAAUUAGGAUAACAAUAUUUUUUGUUGAUAGAUGAGUAUUUGUUUAGAUUUUUUGAUCAAUGGGUUAUAUUUUAGAUAAAUUCUCAAAACUUCUAUUUUUAGAAAGUUUUCAUUUUAUUGAGAAAUAUUGUAGAGUUAGGGUUGUGAUUUAGAAUUUAGGAUAACAAGAAAUUUUGUUGAGAGAUGAGUAUUCUUUGAGGAUUUUUUAUCAAUAAGUUGUAUUUUUAAGAUAAAAUUCUCAAAAAAUCUAUUUUAGGAAGUUUUUAUUUUUAUUUGGAAAUAUUGUAGAUUUGGGGUUUCAGAUUAAAGUAUUUAGAACAACAAGAAUUUGUUGAUAGGUGAGCAUUUUUUAAAAAGUUUUGAUCAAUAGGUUGUAUAUUUUAUAUAAAAUUCUCAAAAUUCUAUUUUUGGAAAGUUUCAUUUUUGUGAAUAAUAGUGUGGAUUUGGGGUUUGAUUUAGAAAUUAGGAUAAAAAAAUUGUUGUUGAUAGAUGGAGUAUUCUUUUACAUUUUUUGAUGAAUAGUUGUAUUUUUAAAAUAUAAUUCUCAAAAGUUCUAUUUUAGGAAAGUUUCCAUUUUGAUGAAUAAUAGUGUGGAUUUGGGGUUUUGAUUUAGAAAUUAGGAUAACAAGAAUUGUUUGUUGAAAGAUGGAGUAUUCUUUUAGAUUUUUUGAUCAAUAGUUGUAUUUUUUAAAUAUAAUUCUCAAAAGUUCUAUUUUAGGAAAGUUUUCAUUGUCUAUAGAAAUAUUGUAGAUUUGGGUUGUGAUUUAGAAAUUAGGAUAACAAUAUUUUUUGUUGAUGUAUGAGUAUUUUUUUAGUUUUUUUGAUCAAUAGGUUGUAUAUUUUUAGAUAAAUUCUCAAAACUUCUAUUUUAGAAAGUUUUCAUUUUUAUUGAGAAUAUUGUAGAUUUAGGGUUGUGAUUUAGAAUUUAGGAUAACAAGAAAUUUUGUUGAUAGAUGAGUAUUCUUUGAGGAUUUUUGAUCAAUAAGUUGUAUUUUUAAGAUAAAUUCUCAAAAAUCUAUUUUAGGAAAGUUUUAUUUUUUAAUUGGAAAUAUUGUAGAUUUGGGGUUCAGAUUAAAAAUAUUAGAACAACAAGAAUUUUUUGUUAUAGGUGAGCAUUCUUUUAAAAGUUUUGAUCAAUAGGUUGUAUAUUUAAUAUAAAAUUCUCAAAAAUUCUAUUUUUGGAAAGUUUUCAUUUUUGUGAAUAAUAGUGUGGAUUUGGGGUUUUGAUUUAGAAAUUAGGAUAACAAGAAUUGUUUGUUGAUAGAUGGAGUAUUCUUUUACAUUUUUUGAUGAAUAGUUGUAUUUUUAAAUAUAAUUCUCAAAAGUUCUAUUUUAGAAAAUUUUCUUUUUGGAUAAUAGUGUGGAUUUGGUUUUGAUUUAGAAAUUAGGAUAACAAGAAUUGUUGUUUACAGAUGGAGUAUUCUUUUAGAUUUUUUGAUCAAUAGUUGUAUUUUUUAAAUAUAAUUAUCAUAAGUUCUAUUUUAGGAAAGUUUUCAUUGUAUAUAGAAAUAUUGUAGAUUUGGGUUGUGGUUUAGAAAUUAGGAUAAAAUAUUUUUUUUGAUGUAUGAGUAUUUUUUUAGAUUUUUUGAUCAAUAGUUGUAUAUUUUAAAUAAAAUUCUCAAAAUUCUAUUUUUUAAAGUUUUCAUUUUUAUUGAGAAAUAUUGUAGAUUUGGGUUGUGAUUUAGAAUUUAGGAUAACAAGAAAUUUGUUGAUAGAUGAGUAUUCUUUGAGGUUUUGAUCAAUAGGUUGUAUAUUUUAGAUAAAUUUUCAAAACUUCUAUUUUUUGAAAGUUUUCAUUUUUAUUGAGAAAUAUUGUAGAUUAGGGUUGUGAUUUAGAAUUUAGGAUAACAAGAAAUUUUGUUGAUAGAUGAGUAUUCUUUGGACUUUUGAUCAAUAAGUUGUAUUUUUAAGAUAAAAUUCUCAAAAGUUUAUUUAGGAAAGUUUUAUUUUUAUUGGGAAAUAUUGUAGAUUUGGGGUUCAGAUUAAAAUAUUAGAACAACAAGAAUUUUUGUUGAUAGGUGAGAUUCUUUUAAAUUUUUUGAUCAAUAGGUUGUAUAUUUAAUAUAAAAUUCUCAAAAAUUCUAUUUUAGGAAAGUUCAUUUUUGUGAAUAAUAGUGUGGAUUUGGGGUUUUGAUUUAGAAAUUACGAUAACAAAAAUUAUUUGUUGAUAGAUGGAGUAUUCUUUUAGAUUUUUUGAUGAAUAGUUGUAUUUUUUAAAUAUAAUUAUCAAAAGUUCUAUUUUAGGAAAGUUUUCAUUAGGUGAAUAAUAGUGUGUAUUUGGGUUUUGAUUUAGAAAUUAGGAUAACAAGAAUUGUUUGUUUAAUGAUGGAGUAUUUUUUAGAUUUUUGACAAAUAAUUGUAAUUUAAAAUAUAAUUAUCAAAAGUUCUAUUUUAGGAAAGUUUUCAUUGUCUAUAGAAAUAUUGUAGAUUUGGAUUGUGAUUUAGAAAUUAGGAUAACAAAUUUUUUUUGUUGAUAGAUGAGUAUUUGUUUAGAUUUUUGAUCAAUAGGUAUAUUUUAGAUAAAAUUCUCAAAACUUCUAUUUUUAGAAAGUUUUCAUUUUUAUGAAAUAUUGUAGAGUUGGGGUUGUGAUUUUAGAAUUUAGGAUAACAAGAAAUUUUGUUGAGAGAUGAGUAUUCUUUGAGGAUUUUGAUCAAUAAGUUGUAUUUUUUAAGAUAAAAUUCUCAAAAAUCUAUUUUAGGAAAGUUUAUUUUUAUUUGGAAAUAUUGUAGAUUUGGGUUCUGAUUUAAAAUAUUAGAAUAACAAGAAUUUUUGUUGAUAGGUGAUAUUUUUUUAAAGUUUGAUCAUAGGUUGUAUUUUUAUAUAAAAUUCUCAAAAAUUCUAUUUUUGGAAAGUUUCAUUUUUGUGAAUAAUAGUGUGGAUUUGGGGUUUUGAUUUAGAAAUUAGGAUAAAAGAAUUGUUUGUUGAUAGAUGGAGUAUUCUUUUACAUUUUUUGAUGAAUAGUUGUAUUUUUAAAUAUAAUUCUCAAAAUUCUAUUUUAGGAAAGUUUCCAUUUUGAUGAAUAAUAGUGUGGAUUUUGGGUUUUGAUUUAGAAUUAGGAUAACAAGAAUUGUUUGUUGAAAGAUGGAGUAUUCUUUUAGAUUUUUUGAUCAAUAGUUGUAUUUUUUAAAUAUAAUUCUCAAAAGUUCUAUUUUAGGAAAGUUUUCAUUGUCUAUAGAAAUAUUGUAGAUUUGGAGUUGUGAUUUAGAGAAUUAGGAUAACAAUAUUUUUGUUGAUGUAUGAGUAUUUCUUUAGAUUUUUUGAUCAAUAGGUUAUAUUUUAGAUAAAAUUCUCAAAACUUUAUUUUUAAAAGUUUUCAUUUUUAUUGAGAAUAUUGUAGAUUUGGGGUUGUGAUUUAGAAAUUAGGAUAACAAGAAAUUUUGUUGAUAGAUGAGUAUUCUUUGAGGAUUUUUGAUCAAUAGUUGUAUUUUUAAGAUAAAAUUCUCAAAAAUCUAUUUUAGGAAAGUUUUUAUUUUUAUUUGGAAAUAUUGUAGAUUUGGGGUUCAGAUUAAAAAUAUUAGAACAACAAGAAUUUUGUUGAUAGGUGAGCAUUUUUAUAAAGUUUUGAUAAUAGGUUGUAUAUUUUAUAUAAAAUUCUCAAAAAUUCUAUUUUGGAAAGUUUCAUUUUUGUGAAUAAUAGUGUGGAUUUGGGUUUUGAUUUAGAAAUUAGGAUAACAAGAAUUGUUUGUUGAUAGAUGGAGUAUUCUUUUACAUUUUUUGAUGAAUAGUUGUAUUUUUAAAAUAUAUUCUCAAAAGUUCUAUUUUAGGAAAGUUUCAUUUUGUUGAAUAAUAGUGUGGAUUUGGGGUUUUGAUUUAAAAUUAGGAUAACAAGAAUUGUUUGUUGAUAGAUGGAGUAUUCUUUUAGAUUUUUUGAUCAAUAGUUGUAUUUUUUAAAUAUAAUUAUCAAAAUUCUAUUUUAGGAAAGUUUUCAUUGUCUAUAGAAAUAUUGUAGAUUGGGGUUGUGAUUAGAGAAAUUAGGAUAACAAUAUUUUUGUUUGAUAUAUGAGUAUUUGUUUAGAUUUUUUGAUCAAUAGGUUGUUUAUUUUAGAUAAAAUUCUCAAAACUUCUAUUUUUAGAAAGUUUUCAUUUUUAUUGAGAAAUAUUGUAGAGUUAGGGUUGUGAUUUAGAAUUUAGGAUAACAAGAAAUUUUGUUGAUAGAUGAGUAUUCUUUGAGGAUUUUUUGAUCAAUAAGUUGUAUUUUUAAGAUAAAAUUCUCAAAAAAAUCUUUAGGAAAGUUUUAUUUUUUAUUGGAAAUAUUGUAGAUUUGGGGUUCAGAUUAAAAAUAUUAGAACAACAAGAAUUUUUGUUGAUAGGUGAGCAUUUUUUUAAAGUUUGAUCAAUAGGUUGUAUAUUUUAUAUAAAAUUCUCAAAAAUUCUAUUUUUGGAAAGUUUUCAUUUUUGUGAAUAAUAGUGUGGAUUUGGGGUUUUGAUUUAGAAAUUAGGAUAACAAGAAUUGUUUGUUGAUAGAUGGAGUAUUCUUUUACAUUUUUUGAUGAAUAGUUGUAUUUUUUAAAUAUAAUUCUCAAAAGUUCUAUUUUAGGAAAGUUUUCAUUUAGUGAAUAAUAGUGUGGAUUUGGGGUUUUGAUUUAGAAAUUAGGAUAACAAGAAUUGUUUGUUUAAUGAUGGAGUAUUCUUUUAGAUUUUUUGACAAUAGUUGUAUUUUUAAAAUAAUUAUCAAAAGUUCUAUUUUAGGAAAGUUUUCAUUGUCUAUAGAAAUAUUGUAGAUUUGGGGUUGUGAUUUAGAAAUUAGGAUAACAAUAUUUUUUGUUGAUAUAUGAGUAUUUGUUUAGAUUUUUUGAUCAAUAGGUUAUAUUUAGAUAAAAUUCUCAAAAUUCUAUUUUAGAAAGUUUUCAUUUUUAUUGAGAAAUAUUGUAGAGUUAGGGUUGUGAUUUAGAAUUUAGGAUAACAAGAAAUUUUGUUGAUAGAUGAGUAUUCUUUGAGGAUUUUUGAUCAAUAAGUUGUAUUUUUAAGAUAAAAUUCUCAAAAAUCUAUUUUAGGAAAGUUUUAUUUUUAUUUGGAAUAUUGUAGAUUUGGGGUUCAGAUUAAAAAUAUUAGAACAACAAGAAUUUUUGUUGAUAGGUGAGCAUUUUUAAAAGUUUUGAUCACUAGGUUGUAUAUUUUAUAUAAAAUUCUCAAAAAUUCUAUUUUUGGAAAGUUUCAUUUUUGUGAAUAAUAGUGUGGAUUUGGGGUUUUGAUUUAGAAAUUAGGAUAAAAGAAUUUUUUGUUGAUAGAUGGAGUAUUCUUUUACAUUUUUUGAUGAAUAGUUGUAUUUUUAAAAUAUAAUUCUCAAAAGUUCUAUUUUAGGAAAGUUUCCAUUUUGAUGAAUAAUAGUGUGGAUUUGGGGUUUUGAUUUAGAAAUUAGGAUAACAAGAAUUGUUUGUUGAAAGAUGGAGUAUUCUUUUAGAUUUUUUGAUCAAUAGUUGUAUUUUUUAAAUAUAAUUCUCAAAAGUUCUAUUUUAGAAAAGUUUUCAUUGUCUAUAGAAAUAUUGUAGAUUUGGGGUUGUGAUUUAGAAAUUAGGAUAACAAUAUUUUUUGUUGAUGUAUGAGUAUUUUUUUUAGAUUUUUUGAUCAAUAGGUUGUAUAUUUUAGAUAAAAUUCUCAAAACUUCUAUUUUUAGAAAGUUUUCAUUUUUAUUGAGAAAUAUUGUAGAUUUAGGGUUGUAAUUUAGAAUUUAGGAUAACAAGAAAUUUUGUUGAGAGAUGAGUAUUCUUUGAGGAUUUUUGAUCAAUAAGUUGUAUUUUUAAGAUAAAAUUCUCAAAAAUCUAUUUUAGGAAAGUUUUAUUUUUAUUUGGAAAUAUUGUAGAUUUGGGGUUCAGAUUAAAAAUAUUAGAACAACAAGAAUUUUUGUGGAUAGGUGAGCAUUUUUAUAAAAGUUUUGAUUAAUAGGUUGUAUAUUUUAUAUAAAAUUCUCAAAAAUUCUAUUUCUGGAAAGUUUCAUUUUUGUGAAUAAUAGUGUGGAUUUGGGGUUUUGAUUUAGAAAUUAGGAUAACAAGAAUUGUUUGUUGAUAGAUGGAGUAUUCUUUUACAUUUUUUGAUGAAUAGUUGUAUUUUUAAAAUAUAAUUCUCAAAAGUUCUAUUUUAGGAAAGUUUCAAUUUUGAUGAAUAAUAGUGUGGAUUUGGGGUUUUGAUUUAGAAAUUAGGAUAACAAGAAUUGUUUGUUGAAAGAUGGAGUAUUCUUUUAGAUUUUUUGAUCAAUAGUUGUAUUUUUUAAAUAUAAUUCUCAAAAGUUCUAUUUUAGGAAAGUUUUCAUUGUCUAUAGAAAUAUUGUAGAUUUGGAGUUGUGAUUUAGAAAUUAGGAUAACAAUAUUUUUUGUUGAUGUAUGAGUAUUUGUUUAGAUUUUUUGAUCAAUAGGUUAUAUUUUAGAUAAAAUUCUCAAAACUUCUAUUUUUAAAAAGUUUUCAUUUUUAUUGAGAAAUAUUGUAGAGUUAGGGUUGUGAUUUAGAAUUUAGGAUAACAAGAAAUUUUGUUGAUAGAUGAGUAUUCUUUGAGGAUUUUUGAUCAAUAAGUUGUAUUUUUAAGAUAAAAUUCUCAAAAAAUCUAUUUUAGGAAAGUUUUAUUUUUAAUUGGAAAUAUUGUAGAUUUGGGGUUCAGAUUAAAAAUAUUAGAACAACAAGAAUUUUUGUUAAUAGGUGAGCAUUCUUUUAAAAGUUUUGAUCAAUAGGUUGUAUAUUUUAUAUAAAAUUCUCAAAAAUUCUAUUUUUGGAAAGUUUUCAUUUUUGUGAAUAAUAGUGUGGAUUUGGGGUUUUGAUUUAGAAAUUAGGAUAACAAGAAUUGUUUGUUGAUAGAUGGAGUAUUCUUUUACAUUUUUUUAUGAAUAGUUGUAUUUUUAAAAUAUAAUUCUCAAAAGUUCUAUUUUAGGAAAGUUUCCAUUUUGAUGAAUAAUAGUGUGGAUUUGGGGUUUUGAUUUAGAAAUUAGGAUAACAAGAAUUGUUUGUUUAAUGAUGGAGUAUUAUUUUAGAUUUUUAACGAAUAAUUGUAAUUUUAAAAUAUAAUUAUCAAAAGUUCUAUUUUAGGAAAGUUUUCAUUGUCUAUAGAAAUAUUGUAGAUUUGGGGUUGUGAUUUAGAAAUUAGGAUAACAAUAUUUUUUGUUGAUAUAUGAGUAUUUGUUUAGAUUUUUGGAUCAAUAGGUUGUUUAUCUUAGAUAAAAUUCUCAAAACUUCUAUUUUUAGAAAGUUUUCAUUUUUAUUGAGAAAUAUUGUAGAGUUAGGGUUGUGAUUUAGAAUUUAGGAUAACAAAAUUUUGUUGAUAGAUGAGUAUUCUUUGAGGAUUUUGAUCAAUAAGUUGUAUUUUUAAGAUAAAAUUCUCAAAAAUCUAUUUAGGAAAGUUUUAUUUUUAUUGGAAAUAUUGUAGAUUUGGGGUUCAGAUUAAAAAUAUUAGAACAACAAGAAUUUUGUUGAUAGGUGAGCAUUCUUUUAAAGUUUUGAUCAAUAGGUGUAUAUUUUUAUAUAAAAUUCUCAAAAAUUCUAUUUUUGGAAAGUUUUCAUUUUUGUGAAUAAUAGUGUGGAUUUGGGGUUUUGAUUUAGAAAUUAGGAUAACAAGAAUUUUGUUGAUAGAUGGAGUAUUCUUUUACAUUUUUUGAUGAAUAGUUGUAUUUUUUUAAAAUAUAAUUCUCAAAAGUUCUAUUUUAGAAAAAAAAAAUUUUGUGGUGAAUAAUAGUGUGGAUUUGGGGUUUUGAUAUAGAAAUUAGGAUAACAAGAAUUGUUUGUUUUACAGAUGGAGUAUUCUUUUAGAUUUUUUGAUCAAUAGUUGUAUUUUUUAAAUAUAAUUAUCAAAAGUUCUAUUUUAGGAAAGUUUCAUUGUCUAUAGAAAUAUUGUAGAUUUGGGUUGUGGUUUAGAAAUUAGGAUAAAAAUAUUUUUUGAUGUAUGAGUAUUUUUUAGAUUUUUUGAUCAAUAGGUUUUAUUUUAGAUAAAAUUCUCAAAACUUCUAUUUUUAGAAAGUUUUCAUUUUUAUUGAGAAAUAUUGUAGAUUAAGGUUGUGAUUUAGAAUUUAGGAUAACAAGAAAUUUUGUUGAUAGAUGAGUAUUCUUUGAGGAUUUUUGAUCAAUAAGUUGUAUUUUUAAGAUAAAUUCUCAAAAGUAUUUUAGGAAAGUUUUAUUUUUAUUGGAAAUAUUGUAGAUUUGGGGUUCAGAUUUAAAAUAUUAGAACAACAAGAAUUUUUGUUGAUAGGUGAGCAUUCUUUUAAAAGUUUUGAUCAAUAGGUUGUAUAUUUAUAUAAAUUCUCAAAAAUUCUAUUUUGGAAAGUUUCAUUUUUGUGAAUAAUAGUGUGGAUUGGGGUUUUGAUUUAGAAAUUAGGAUAACAAGAAUUGUUUGUUGAUAGAUGGAGUAUUCUUUUACAUUUUUUGAUGAAUAGUUGUAUUUUUAAAAUAUAAUUCUCAAAGUUAUUUUAGAAAGUUUUCUUUUGGUGAAUAAUAGUGUGGGGGUUGGGGUUUUGAUUUAGAAAUUAGGAUAACAAGAAUUGUUUGUUUACAGAUGGAGUAUUCUUUUAGAUUUUUUGAUCAAUAGUUGUAUUUUUUAAUAUAAUUAUCAAAGUUCUAUUUUAGGAAAAUUUUCAUUGUAUAUAGAAUAUUGUAGAUUUGGGGUGUGAUUUAGAAAUUAGGAUAAAAAUAUUUUUUUGAUGUAUGAGUAUUUUUUAGAUUUUUUUUAUCAAUAGUUUUCAUUUUUAUUGAGAAAUAUUGUAGAUUAGGUUGUGAUUUAGAAUUUAGGAUAACAAGAAUUUGUUGAUAGAUGAGUAUUCUUUGUGGAUUUUGAUCAAUAAGUUGUAUUUUUAAGAUAAAAUUCUCAAAGUUAUUUAGGAAAGUUUUAUUUUUAUUGGAAUAUUGUAGAUUUGGGGUUCAGAUUAAAAAUAUUAGAACAACAAGAAUUUUUGUUGAUAGGUGAGCAUUCUUUUAAAAGUUUUGAUCAAUAGGUUGUAUAUUUUAUAUAAAAUUCUCAAAAAUUCUAUUUUUGGAAGUUUUCAUUUUUGUGAAUAAUAGUGUGGAUUUGGGGUUUUGAUUUAGAAAUUGGAUAACAAGAAUUGUUUGUUGAUAGAUGGAGUAUUCUUUUACAUUUUUUGAUGAAUAGUUGUAUUUUUUAAAUAUAAUUCUCAAAAGUUAUUUUUAGAAAAUUUCUUUUGGUGAAUAAUAGUGUGGAUUUGGGUUUUGAUUUAGAAAUUAGGAUAACAAGAAUUGUUUGUUUACAGAUGGAGUAUUCUUUUAGAUUUUUUGAUCAAUAGUUGUAUUUUUUAAAUAUAAUUAUCAAAAGUUCUAUUUUAGGAAAGUUUUCAUUGUAUAUAGAAAUAUUGUAGAUUUGGGGUUGUGGUUUAGAAAUUAGGAUAAAAAUAUAUUUUUUUGAUGUAUGAGUAUUUUUUUAGAUUUUUUUUAUCAAUAGGUUGUAUAUUUUAGAUAAAAUUGUCAAAACUUCUAUUUUUAGAAAGUUUUCAUUUUUAUUGAGAAAUAUUGUAGAUUUACGGUUGUGAUUUAGAAUUUAGGAUAACAAGAAAUUUUGUUGAUAGAUGAGUAUUCUUUGAGGUUUUUUGAUCAAUAGGUUGUAUAUUUUAGAUGAAAUUUUCAAAACUUCUAUUUUUUGAAAGUUUUAAUUUUUAUUGAGAAAUAUUGUAGAGUUAGAGUUGUGAUUUAGAAUUUAGGAUAACAAGAAAUUUUGUUGAUAGAUGAGUAUUCCUUGUGGACCUUUGAUUAAUAAGUUGUAUUUUUAAGAUAAAAUUCUCAAAAGUGUUAUUUAGGAAAGUUUUAUUUUUAUUGGGAAAUAUUGUAGAUUUGUGGUUCAGAUUAAAAAUAUUAGAACAACAAGAAUUUUUGCUGAUAGGUGAGCAUUCUUUUAAAAGUUUUGAUCAAUAGGUUGUAUAUUUUAUAUAAAAUUCACAAAAUUCUAUUUUUGGAAAGUUUCAUUUUUGUGAAUAAUAGUGUGGAUUUGGGGUUUUGAUUUAGAAAGUACGAUAACAAAAAUUAUUUGUUGAUAGAUGGAGUAUUCUUUUACAUUUUUUGAUGAAUAGUUGUAUUUUUUAAAUAUAAUUAUCAAAAGUUCUAUUUUAGGAAAGUUUUCAUUUAGGUGAAUAAUAGUGUGUAUUUGGGGUUUUGAUUUAAAAAUUAGGAUAACAAGAAUUGUUUGUUUAAUGAUGGAGUAUUCUUUUAGAUUUUUUGACGAAUAAUUGUAAUUUUUAAAUAUAAUUAUCAAAAGUUCUAUUUUAGGAAAGUUUUCAUUGUCUAUAGAAAUAUUGUAGAUUUGGAGUUGUGAUUUAGAAAUUAGGAUAACAAUAUUUUUUGUUGAUGUAUGAGUAUUUGUUUAGAUUUUUUGAUCAAUAGGUUAUAUUUUAGAUAAAAUUCUCAAAACUUCUAUUUUUAAAAAGUUUUCAUAUUUAUUGAGAAAUAUUGUAGAGUUAGGGUUGUGAUUUAGAAUUUAGGAUAACAAGAAAUUUUUUUGAGAGAUGAGUAUUCUUUGAGGAUUUUUGAUCAAUAAGUUGUAUUUUUAAGAUAAAAUUCUCAAAAAAUCUAUUUUAGGAACGUUUUAUUUUUAUUUGGAAAUAUUGUAGAUUUGGGGUUCAGAUUAAAAAUAUUAGAACAACAUGAAUUUUUGUUGAUAGGUGAGCAUUUUUUUAAAAGUUUUGAUCACUAGGUUGUAUAUUUUAUAUAAAAUUCUCAAAAAUUCUAUUUUUGGAAAGUUUCAUUUUUGUGAAUAAUAGUGUGGAUUUGGGGUUUUGAUUUAGAAAUUAGGAUAACAAGAAUUGUUUGUUGAUAGAUGGAGUAUUCUUUUACAUUUUUUGAUGAAUAGUUGUAUUUUUAAAAUAUAAUUCUCAAAAGUUCUAUUUUAGGAAAGUUUCCAUUUUGAUGAAUAAUAGUGUGGAUUGGGGUUUUGAUUUAGAAAUUAGGAUAACAAGAAUUGUUUGUUGAAAGAUGGAGUAUUCUUUUAGAUUUUUUGAUCAAUAGUUGUAUUUUUUAAAUAUAAUUCUCAAAAGUUCUAUUUUAGAAAAGUUUUCAUUGUCUAUAGAAAUAUUGUAGAUUUGGGGUUGUGAUUUAGAAAUUAGGAUAACAAUAUUUUUUGUUGAUGUAUGAGUAUUUUUUUUAGAUUUUUUGAUCAAUAGGUUGUAUAUUUUAGAUAAAAUUCUCAAAACUUCUAUUUUUUGAAAGUUUUCAUUUUUAUUGAGAAAUAUUGUAGAUUUAGGGUUGUAAUUUAGAAUUUAGGAUAACAAGAAAUUUUGUUGAUAGAUGAGUAUUCUUUGAGGAUUUUUGAUCAAUAAGUUGUAUUUUUAAGAUAAAAUUCUCAAAAAUCUAUUUUAGGAAAGUUUUAUUUUUAUUUGGAAAUAUUGUAGAUUUGGGGUUCAGAUUAAAAAUAUUAGAACAACAAGAAUUUUUGUUGAUAGGUGAGCAUUUUUUUAAAAGUUUUGAUCACUAGGUUGUAUAUUUUAUAUAAAAUUCUCAAAAAUUCUAUUUUUGGAAAGUUUCAUUUUUGUGAAUAAUAGUGUGGAUUUGGGGUUUUGAUUUUGAAAUUAGGAUAACAAGAAUUGUUUGUUGAUAAAUGGAGUAUUCUUUUACAUUUUUUGAUGAAUAGUUGUAUUUUUAAAAUAUAAUUCUCAAAAUUUAUAUUUUAAGAAAGUUUCCAUUUUGACAAAUAAUAGUGUGGAUUUGGGGUUUUGAUUUAGAAAUUAGGAUAACAAGAAUUGUUUGUUGAUAGAUGGAGUAUUCUUUUAGAUUUUUUGAUGAAUAGUUGUAUUUUUUAAAUAUAAUUAUCAAAAGUUCUAUUUUAGGAAAGUUUUCAUUGUCUAUAGAAAUAUUGUAGAUUUGGGAUUGUGAUUUAGAAAUUAGGAUAACAAUAUUUUUUGUUGAUGUAUGAGUAUUUGUUUAGAUUUUUUUAUCAACAUGUUAUAUUUUGAGAAUUUUAUCUAAAAUAUAACCUAUUGAUAAAAAAAUAUAAACAAAUACUUUGAGGAAUUUUGAUCAGUAAGAUGUAUUGUUAAGAUAAAAUUCUCAAAGAGUCUAUUUUAUGAAAGUUUAUUUUUAUUGGGAAAUAUUGUAGAUUUGGGGUUCAGAUUAAAAAUAUUAGAACAACAAGAAUUUUUGUUGAUAGGUGAGCAUUCUUUUAAAAGUUUUGAUCAAUAGGUUGUAUAUUUUAUAUAAAAUUCACAAAAAUUCUAUUUUUUGAAAGUUUUCAUUUUUGUGAAUAAUAGUGUGGAUUUGGGGUUUUGAUUUAGAAAUUAGGAUAACAAGAAUUGUUUGUUGAUAGAUGGAGUAUUCUUUUACAUUUUUUGAUGAAUAGUUGUAUUUUUUUAAAUAUAAUUCUCAAAAGUUAUAUUUUAGAAAAAAAUUCUUUUUGGUGAAUAAUAGUGUGGAUUUGGGGUUUUGAUUUAGAAAUUAGGAUAACAAGAAUUGUUUUUUUACAGAUGGAGUAUUCUUUUAGAUUUUUUUAUGAAUAGUUGUAUUUUUUAAAUAUAAUUCUCAAAAGUUCUAUUUGAAAAAAGUUUUCAUUUUGGUGAAUUAAAGUGUGGAUUUGGGGUUUUGAUUUAGAAAUUAGGAUAACAAGAAUUGCUUGUUUAUAGAUGGAGUAUUCUUUUAGAUUUUUUGACCAAUAGUUGUAUAUUUUAAAUAUAAUUAUCAAAACUUCUAUUUUAGGAAAGUUUUCAUUGUAUAUAGAAAUAUUGUAGAUUUGAGGUUGUGAUUUAGAAAUUAGGAUAACAAUAUUUUUUUUUGAUGUAUGAGUAUUUUUUUUAGAUAUUUUGAUCAAUAGGUUGUAUAUUUUAGAUAAAAUUCUCAAAACUUCUAUUUUUAGAAAUUUUUUAUUUUUAUUGAGAAAUAUUGUAGAUUUAGGGUUGUGAUUUAGAAGUUAGGAUAACAAGAAAUUUGGUUGAUAAAUGAGUAUUCUUUGAGGAUUUUUGAUCAAUAGGUUGUAUAUUUUAGAUGAAAUUUUCAAAACUUCUAUUUUAAGAAAGUUCUCAUUUUUAUUGAGAAAUAUAGUAGAGUUAGGGUUGUGAUUUAGAAUUUAGGAUAACAAGAAAUUUUGUUGAUGGAUGAGUAUUCUUUGAGGAUUUUUUAUCAAUAAUUUGUAUUUUUAAGAUAAAAUUCUCAAAAAAU